RNAcentral lists this ribosomal RNA (1014 nucleotides) under Drosophila virilis. RNAcentral's name for it is "eukaryotic LSU rRNA". It matches the Rfam family "Eukaryotic large subunit ribosomal RNA", at positions 1 to 832 of the family's 3401-position model. Lineage: Eukaryota; Metazoa; Arthropoda; Insecta; Diptera; Drosophilidae. The record is from RNAcentral.
UUAUACAACCUCAACUCAUAUGGGACUACCCCCUGAAUUUAAGCAUAUUAAUUAGGGGAGGAAAAGAAACUAACAAGGAUUUUCUUAGUAGCGGCGAGCGAAAAGAAAUCAGUUCAGCACUAAGUCACUUUGUCUAUAUGGCAAAUGUGAGAUGCAGUGUACGGAACAUCAACAUUUUAGUAUGAGAAGUUAACGAUUUAAGUCCUUCUUAAAUGAGGCCAUUUACCCAUAGAGGGUGCCAGGCCCGUAUAACGUUAAUGAUUACUAGAUGGUGUUUCCAAAGAGUCGUGUUGCUUGAUAGUGCAGCACUAAGUGGUCGGUAAACUCCAUCUAAAACUAAAUAUAACCAUGAGACCGAUAGUAAACAAGUACCGUGAGGGAAAGUUGAAAAGAACUCUGAAUAGAGAGUUAAAUAGUACGUGAAACUGCUUAGAGGUUAAGCCCGAUGAACCUGAAUAUCCGUUAUGGAAAAUUCAUCAUUAGAAUUGUAAUAUUUUAAACAAUAUUAUAAUAAUAGUGUGCAUUUUUUCCAUAUAAGGACAUUGUAAUCUAUUAGCAUAAAUAUUUAUCAUAAAAUUAUGUCUGAUUGCUUAUUUGAAUUAUAUGCUUGCAUUUUAACAUAAAAUAAAAGAUAUAAAUUUGAUAAAGUGCUGAUAGAUUUAUAUGAUUACAGUGCGUUAAUUUUUCGGAAUUAUAUAAUGGCAUAAUUAUCAUUGAUAUUUGUGUUUAUUAUAUGCAUUUGUAUGAUUAACAAUGCGAAAGAUUCAGGAUACCUUCGGGACCCGUCUUGAAACACGGACCAAGGAGUCUAACAUAUGUGCAAGUUAUUGGGAUAUAAACCUAAUAGCGUAAUUAACUUGACUAUUAAUGGGAUUAGUUUUUUAACUAUUUAUAGUUAAUUAACGCAAUCCCGGGGCGCUCUAUAUAGUUAUGUAUAAUAAUAUUUAUAUUAUUUAUGCCUCUAACUGGAACGUACCUUGAGCAUAUAUGCUGUGACCCGAAAGAUGGUGAACU